CUUGCUUCUCUGGAUGAGUUGCGAACGGGUGAGUAACGCGUAGGUAACCUGCCUGGUAGCGGGGGAUAACUAUUGGAAACGAUAGCUAAUACCGCAUAAGAGUAGAUGUUGCAUGACAUUUGCUUAAAAGGUGCAAAUGCAUCACUACCAGAUGGACCUGCGUUGUAUUAGCUAGUUGGUGGGGUAACGGCUCACCAAGGCGACGAUACAUAGCCGACCUGAGAGGGUGAUCGGCCACACUGGGACUGAGACACGGCCCAGACUCCUACGGGAGGCAGCAGUAGGGAAUCUUCGGCAAUGGACGGAAGUCUGACCGAGCAACGCCGCGUGAGUGAAGAAGGUUUUCGGAUCGUAAAGCUCUGUUGUAAGAGAAGAACGAGUGUGAGAGUGGAAAGUUCACACUGUGACGGUAUCUUACCAGAAAGGGACGGCUAACUACGUGCCAGCAGCCGCGGUAAUACGUAGGUCCCGAGCGUUGUCCGGAUUUAUUGGGCGUAAAGCGAGCGCAGGCGGUUAGAUAAGUCUGAAGUUAAAGGCUGUGGCUUAACCAUAGUAGGCUUUGGAAACUGUUUAACUUGAGUGCAAGAGGGGAGAGUGGAAUUCCAUGUGUAGCGGUGAAAUGCGUAGAUAUAUGGAGG
This 638-nucleotide ribosomal RNA is filed under the name uncultured Bacilli bacterium. RNAcentral's name for it is "bacterial SSU rRNA". It matches the Rfam family "Bacterial small subunit ribosomal RNA", at positions 79 to 704 of the family's 1533-position model. Lineage: Bacteria; Bacillati; Bacillota; Bacilli. The record is from RNAcentral.